RNAcentral lists this unclassified non-coding RNA (295 nucleotides) under uncultured fungus. RNAcentral describes it as "sequence contains ITS1". Lineage: Eukaryota; Fungi. The record is from RNAcentral.
GGGACUACAAGGGUAUCUAAUCCCGUUCGCUCCCCUAGCUUUCGCGCCUCAGCGUCAGUCACUGUCCAGGUAGCCGCCUUCGCCACCGGUGUUCCUCCCAAUAUCUACGCAUUUCACCGCUACACUGGGAAUUCCACUACCCCCUCCAGGACUCAAGCAAAGCAGUUUCAGAUGCAGUUCCCGAGUUGAGCCCGGGGCUUUCACACCUGACUUGCCCUGCCGCCUACGCGCCCUUUACGCCCAGUAAUUCCGAACAACGCUUGCCACCUCCGUAUUACCGCGGCGGCUGGCACCA